UACAGAGGGUGCGAACGUUGUUCGGAAUCACUGGGCAUAAAGCGCACGUAGGCGGCACCGCAAGUGUGGAGUGAAAUCCCACGGCUUACCCGUGGAACUGCUUGGCAGACUGCGGUGCUAGAGGUUGGUAGGGGGGAGCGGAACUCUUGGUGGAGCGGUGAAAUGCGUAGAUAUCAAGAGGAACACCGGUGGCGAAGGCGGCUCUCUGGUCCAAUCCUGACGCUGAGGUGCGAAAGCUAGGGGAGCAAACGGG
Molecule: ribosomal RNA, 253 nt
Filed under: uncultured bacterium
Lineage: Bacteria
Description: partial 16S ribosomal RNA
Rfam family: Bacterial small subunit ribosomal RNA
Source: RNAcentral